GGGAUUUGCGCAUGGGCGAANCCUGNGCAGCGACGCCGCGUGGGGGAUGAAGCUUCUCGGAGUGUAAACCCCUUUCGACCCGGACGAAUGACCCGCAAGGGUUUGACGGUACGGGUAUAAGAAGCCCCGGCUAACUACGUGCCAGCAGCCGCGGUAAUACGUAGGGGGCCAGCGUUGCUCGGAAUUACUGGGCGUAAAGGGUUCGUAGGUGGUGCGGCAAGUUGGAAGUGAAAUCUCUGGGCUUAACCCAGAGGCUGCUUUCAAAACUGCCGUGCUCGAGUGCGAGAGAGGCCAGUGGAAUUGCAGGUGUAGCGGUGAAAUGCGUAGAUAUCUGCAGGAACACCCGUGGCGAAGGCGGCUGGCUGGAUCGCAACUGACACUGAGGAACGAAAGCUAGGGGAGCAAACAGGAUUAGAUACCCUGGUAGUCCUAGCCCUAAACCAUCAGGACUUGGGGUGGCCCGCGUAGGCGGGUCGUCCCGUAGCUAACGCGUUAAGUCCUGCGCCUGGGGAGUACGGUCGCAAGACUGAAACUCAAAGAAAUUGACGGA
Molecule: ribosomal RNA, 550 nt
Filed under: uncultured bacterium
Lineage: Bacteria
Description: bacterial SSU rRNA
Rfam family: Bacterial small subunit ribosomal RNA
Source: RNAcentral